Molecule: ribosomal RNA, 251 nt
Filed under: uncultured bacterium
Lineage: Bacteria
Description: partial 16S ribosomal RNA
Rfam family: Bacterial small subunit ribosomal RNA
Source: RNAcentral
UACGAGGGGUGAGCGUUGUCCGGAAUUACUGGGCGUAAAGAGUUCGUAGGCGGUUUGUCGCGUCGUUCGUGAAAACUUGGGGCUUAACUCCAAGCGUGCGGGCGAUACGGGCAGACUUGAGUACUACAGGGGAGACUGGAAUUCCUGGUGUAGCGGUGAAAUGCGCAGAUAUCAGGAGGAACACCGGUGGCGAAGGCGGGUCUCUGGGUAGUAACUGACGCUGAGGAACGAAAGCGUGGGUAGCGAACAGG